UUUAGGCGUCGGAACAAGUAGUGCUGCGAAAACUUUGGAAAUGAUAAAUUUGAGUUCUACAAACUACUGGUGCUAACAAAGACUACUCCAGAGGCGAGAAACGCAAGUUUGGACUAAGUUUGCAUGCACAGCUUUUCAACAUCUGCAAAUGUGUCACUUACAACCGUGCAGCCUGUGCCAUCAGAGACUGGAAGUUCUGCAUUUGUUUAGCACUAGUCAAAAUGUACCAUCCAAACUGUAAAGGAAGUGAAAUUAAUGAAGCUGUGUCAGCAAAAGAAACAGUGACUUAGUGA
Molecule: long non-coding RNA, 293 nt
Organism: Corticium candelabrum
Lineage: Eukaryota; Metazoa; Porifera; Homoscleromorpha; Homosclerophorida; Plakinidae
Exons: 3
Source: RefSeq, a predicted model, not a curated record